CAGGGAUUGCCCUAGUAACGGCGAGUGAAGCGGCAACAGCUCAAAUUUGAAAUCUGGCGUCUUCGGCGUCCGAGUUGUAAUUUGCAGAGGGCGCUUUGGCAUUGGCAGCGGUCCAAGUUCCUUGGAACAGGACGUCACAGAGGGUGAGAAUCCCGUACGUGGUCGCUAGCCUUUACCGUGUAAAGCCCCUUCGACGAGUCGAGUUGUUUGGGAAUGCAGCUCUAAAUGGGAGGUAAAUUUCUUCUAAAGCUAAAUACUGGCCAGAGACCGAUAGCGCACAAGUAGAGUGAUCGAAAGAUGAAAAGCACUUUGGAAAGAGAGUUAAAAAGCACGUGAAAUUGUUGAAAGGGAAGCGCUUGCAGCCAGACUUGCCUGUAGUUGCUCAUCCGGGUUUCUACCCGGUGCACUCUUCUAUAGGCAGGCCAGCAUCAGUUUGGGCGGUUGGAUAAAGGUCUCUGUCAUGUACCUCUCUUCGGGGAGAACUUAUAGGGGAGACGACAUGCAACCAGCCUGGACUGAGGUCCGCGCAUCUGCUAGGAUGCUGGCGUAAUGGCUGUAAGCGGCCCGUCUUGAAACACGGACCAAGGAGUCUAACAUCUAUGCGAGUGUUUGGGUGUCAAGCCCGAGCGCGUAAUGAAAGUGAACGGAGGUGGGAACCUUUCGGGGUGCACCAUCGACCGAUCCUGAUGUCUUCGGAUGGAUUUGAGUAAGAGCAUAGCUGUUGGGACCCGAAAGAUGGUGAACUAUGCUUGAAUAGGGUGAAGCCAGAGGAAACUCUGGUGGAGGCUCGCAGCGGUUCUGACGUGCAAAUCGAUCGUCAAAUUUGGGCAUAGGGGCGAAAGACUAAUCGAACU
This 854-nucleotide ribosomal RNA is filed under the name Didymella pinodella. Its description in RNAcentral is "eukaryotic LSU rRNA". It matches the Rfam family "Eukaryotic large subunit ribosomal RNA", at positions 69 to 941 of the family's 3401-position model. The record is from RNAcentral. Lineage: Eukaryota; Fungi; Ascomycota; Dothideomycetes; Pleosporales; Didymellaceae.